RNAcentral lists this ribosomal RNA (85 nucleotides) under Meloidogyne hapla. The record is from RNAcentral. Lineage: Eukaryota; Metazoa; Nematoda; Chromadorea; Rhabditida; Meloidogynidae.
UCCGAUCUGGCAAGUUAAGCAACGUUGGGCUCCUUAGUACUUGGAACGGAGACGUCCUGGGAAUCGGGGGUGUCGUAAUCUUUUU